RNAcentral lists this long non-coding RNA (1081 nucleotides) under Cricetulus griseus (Chinese hamster). RNAcentral's name for it is "lncRNA (ENSCGRG00000025694.1)". Lineage: Eukaryota; Metazoa; Chordata; Mammalia; Rodentia; Cricetidae. The record is from RNAcentral.
UGGGGUCCUGGAAGGCUCUGCACACACCUGCGAAGAGCACUAGCCCCCUACUUCCUUAGGGUGUCUCUGGCUCAGGGUCUCUUUCUCUCCACUCUCACCCUGGGCCCUCAGUGCUCCAAAAGCUGUGGUGUGGGUACUCGGAGGCGACGUGUUACCUGUGCCAUUGGGCCGCCUGGUCACUGUGGGGACCUGCAGUCAUCCAAGCCCGCUGACGUGGAACCCUGCAGCAGACAGCCUUGCCAUCUUCCUCAGGAGGUCCCCAGCAUACAGGACUCACGGACCCACCCUUCAGGCCCCAGGAUGCCUUUAGGCCCUCACGUGUCCCCAGUCUCAGAUGCUAGAGACCAGCAAUGGGCUGCCCAGGAGCUAUCCAGGGUCCAGAGUAACCCCAGGGAGAGCCAGGAUCCCCACGCCUCAGCUGCAGGCCGGGCCCCCACUCUGCAACAUCCUCCACAUCGGGCACCCCUGAGGCCUAGCUCAGGGCCCCGAGACUGCAGAUACAACCCCCAUGGAUGCUGCCCUGAUGGCCACACACCAUCUCUUGGGCCGCAGUGGCAAGGCUGUCCCCCGGCUGGGGCCUUGUGUCUUCAGAGCAGGUGGGUUGGGGCAGCUCUUCUUCCUCAGUAGGCCAAGAGAAGGAAGGUGGGGUUGGGCCACAUUGGCCAGUGCCAGCAUCCCUGACCAGGGCUGGCUUGCCCAGUCUAGAAUUCCUGAGGCACCCUGACUGUGCUGUUUUUUGGGUAUGUGGGUGGGGCUCUCUUCCUCCUGAAGGGCUUCUAAUGUGCCCAGCCUAUGGAGAGGUAGCCUGAGGCCUGGCGCAGGCACGAAAGGUGAUUUCAGCUCUCGGUCCAUGCUAAGAUCAGGAGUGCAGUGUGAAGCUGGCUGAAUCUCAAGACUUCUACAAAAACACACUCCUUCAGUCUUGUAGGGAGGGGUUGAGUCACCCCACUCUGCCAAAUGCCUUCUCUACAGUUCUCCUGAGACCUCCCUUGCACGGGCCCCCUGAGGGACUGCACUGCUAAGGGUCUGGGAUUUAGGGCCAGUGACUUCCAGCUGUUUGCUGGAUGACAAAGUCAGUGAC